Balaenoptera ricei (Rice's whale) is the source of this 871-nucleotide long non-coding RNA. RefSeq lists it as uncharacterized. NCBI's taxonomy places the organism in Eukaryota, Metazoa, Chordata, Mammalia, Artiodactyla, Balaenopteridae. The record is from RefSeq and is a predicted model, not a curated record. The transcript has 4 exons.
UCCUGGUUAAUGAGGCAUGGGGCUGAAAAGGAGGCAAUGAAUGGAAUAAAGAAAUAAACGAAAAUGCACGGUGUACGUAACAUCUUAAAAGCCAACUGGGUUGAACAGCUAGAGGGUCAGCAGAAAUUUUGGCUGCAGUAACUGCAUCUGGUCAUACACUGAAGUCGCAUGAAGUCUCCAAUUUUCCAGUCCUUUUGUGAAUCUGAAUGCUGGAAACUGCUACACGAUGUGAUUGAACCCCAGGAGAACAUCUUUGGGUUUGCCAUGUUUUAAACAAACCCAGACAAAAUCUAUAAAAUUUCCCUGUUCUUGACAUUCUACUGAGAUUCUAUUAAAUGAUGGGGAAAAAGCACACAGACUGGUACUUUUUCCUCAAGAGAAAAGGCGGCUGGCUGGGACUGCUGUACGGACAAGGAAGGACUCCUGCCGGAACCCGACUCAGGUGGCUCUGAGGGUCCAAUUCCCUGUCUGUCAGAGGCUCCAGCUCGUGGCGAUCAGGUACAGGAGAUGGUCAGCAGACCCGGAAACUGGCAUCAUCACUCUAAACACUUUGUGCCAUGAGUAAGUAGCACAGACACCACAGCGCAUGUGGAAUAAGCCCGGCUCCUCCUCUCUGACUCGUGGAAAUGUCAAUAUCGGGUACUGUACUCGACCAAGCAAUGCAGUGCAAAGCCAUCAAACUAGGCCCCUCAAUACAAGGAGAAAAAGAUACAUUUGAAAACCAACGAAACCACUGAAAUGAAAUAUGUGACGGAGCGGGACUGCACUGAUAUCUCACACCUGCUUCCCAGGCCCCCGGCUGCAUGGGCUGUCCUGUGUAUUAGGAGUAGCGCUAGGAGAGAAUGAAUUAAAUUUGUUUCCUCUGAGCUGA